UUGCGGUCAAGUGACCUCACACGACUUUUUUUAUCCUCGUGUUUGGACAAUAUUUUUUGAAGUGUUUCGUGAAUUUGGAUUAUUAAUUUCGACGCGGUUUUAAAAGCUUGGAAUACUAUUGCGUAAAGAUUUUCUUUAGUAAUGACACUGUUAGUCGCAAUGUUGCUGUAGGCCAUUAGCAUUGACCGUACAGAUGUGCUAAUAGUUUUUCAUGGUGGUUUAUAGUUGGAUAUUUUAAAUUUCAUACAAUAGCAUGGAUAAAACUUUCAUGAAGAACAGACCAUUUAUAAUCUUCAUUAUUGGAAUUGAUUAGACUAUCUGUCAGUCUGAAUAUUUUAAGUGGACAACCUUCAUCAGCUGUGUCACAUAACAACAAACAUUUUGAGACAUAUCUCGAAUAAUAUAUACAGUUAAAAAUAAAUGAAAUCAGUGCUAUACAUACUGUUUUGUGAAAAAUAUGAUUGACAAAAUGCAUUUUUUUAAGUUUUUUUU
Long non-coding RNA from Mytilus trossulus (common blue mussel), 492 nucleotides. RefSeq lists it as uncharacterized. The transcript has 4 exons. The record is from RefSeq and is a predicted model, not a curated record. NCBI's taxonomy places the organism in Eukaryota, Metazoa, Mollusca, Bivalvia, Mytilida, Mytilidae.